Molecule: ribosomal RNA, 253 nt
Filed under: uncultured bacterium
Lineage: Bacteria
Description: partial 16S ribosomal RNA
Rfam family: Bacterial small subunit ribosomal RNA
Source: RNAcentral
UACGUAGGGUGCGAGCGUUAAUCGGAAUUACUGGGCGUAAAGCGUGCGCAGGCGGUUGUGCAAGACAGAUGUGAAAUCCUCGGGCUUAACCUGAGAACUGCAUAUGUGACUGCACAGCUAGAGUACGGCAGAGGGGGGUGGAAUUCCGCGUGUAGCAGUGAAAUGCGUAGAGAUGCGGAGGAACACCGAUGGCGAAGGCAAUCCCCUGGACCUGUACUGACGCUCAUGCGCGAAAGCGUGGGGAGCAAACAGG